This 329-nucleotide unclassified non-coding RNA is filed under the name soil metagenome. RNAcentral describes it as "partial contains 5.8S ribosomal RNA, internal transcribed spacer 2, and large subunit ribosomal RNA". The stretch from base 1 to 120 matches the Rfam family "5.8S ribosomal RNA", at positions 35 to 154 of the family's 154-position model. The record is from RNAcentral.
GAUGAAGAACGCAGCGAAAUGCGAUAAGUAGUGUGAAUUGCAGAAUUCAGUGAAUCAUCGAAUCUUUGAACGCACAUUGCGCCCCUUGGUAUCCCGAGGGGCAUGCCUGUUCGAGCGUCAUUUCACCACUCAAGCCUGGCUUGGUGUUGGGCGACGUCCCCUUUGGGGACGCGCCUCGAAACGCUCGGCGGCGUGGCACCGGCUUUAAGCGUAGCAGAAUCUUUCGCUUUGGAAGUCGGGGCCCCGUCUGCCGUAAGACCUACUCGCAAGGUUGACCUCGGAUCAGGCAGGGAUACCCGCUGAACUUAAGCAUAUCAAUAAGCGGAGGA